CCUACGGGGCGCUGCAGUGAGGAAUAUUGGUCAAUGGGCGAGAGCCUGAACCAGCCAAGUCGCGUGAAGGAUGACUGCCCUACGGGUUGUAAACUUCUUUUGUCAGGGAGCAAUUGGGUCCACGCGUGGGCUUAGCGAGAGUACCUGAAGAAAACGCAUCGUCUAACUCCGUACCAGCAGCCGCGGUAAUAAGGAGGAUGCGAGCGGUCUCCGGAUUUAUUGGGUUUAAAGUGUGCGUAGGCGGAAUUUCAAGUCAGCGGUAAAAAUUCGGGGCUCAAACCCGUCGUGCCGUUGAAACUGAUGUUCUUGAGUGGGCGAGAAGUAUGCGGAAUGCGUGGUGUAGCGGUGAAAUGCAUAGAUAUCACGCAGAACUCCGAUUGCGAAGGCAGCAGACCGGCGCACAACUGACGCUGAAGCACGAAAGCGUGGGUAUCGAACAGGAUUAGAUACCCCAGUAGUC
This 460-nucleotide ribosomal RNA is filed under the name uncultured bacterium. RNAcentral describes it as "partial 16S ribosomal RNA". It matches the Rfam family "Bacterial small subunit ribosomal RNA", at positions 338 to 795 of the family's 1533-position model. The record is from RNAcentral.